This 253-nucleotide ribosomal RNA is filed under the name uncultured bacterium. RNAcentral's name for it is "partial 16S ribosomal RNA". It matches the Rfam family "Bacterial small subunit ribosomal RNA", at positions 524 to 776 of the family's 1533-position model. The record is from RNAcentral.
UACGUAGGGUGCGAGCGUUGUCCGGAAUUAUUGGGCGUAAAGGGCUCGUAGGCGGUCUGUUGCGUCAGGAGUGAAAACUCGGGGCUUAACCCCGAGCCUGCUUCUGAUACGGGCAGACUAGAGGUAUGCAGGGGAGAACGGAAUUCCUGGUGUAGCGGUGAAAUGCGCAGAUAUCAGGAGGAACACCGGUGGCGAGGGCGGUUCUCUGGGCCGAAACUGACGCUGAGGAGCGAAAGCGUGGGGAGCAAACAGG